This 253-nucleotide ribosomal RNA is filed under the name uncultured bacterium. RNAcentral's name for it is "partial 16S ribosomal RNA". It matches the Rfam family "Bacterial small subunit ribosomal RNA", at positions 524 to 776 of the family's 1533-position model. The record is from RNAcentral.
UACGUAGGGGGCAAGCGUUGUCCGGAUUCAUUGGGCGUAAAGGGUGCGUAGGCGGCGCGGUAAGUCGGGUGUGAAAUCUUGGAGCUUAACUCCGAAACUGCAUUCGAUACUGCCGUGCUUGAGGACUGGAGAGGAGACUGGAAUUUACGGUGUAGCGGUGAAAUGCGUAGAUAUCGUAAGGAAGACCAGUGGCGAAGGCGGCGUUCUGGACUGCAACUGACACUGAGAAACGAAAGCCAGGGUAGCAAACGGG